Molecule: long non-coding RNA, 733 nt
Filed under: Oreochromis niloticus (Nile tilapia)
Lineage: Eukaryota; Metazoa; Chordata; Actinopteri; Cichliformes; Cichlidae
Description: lncRNA (ENSONIG00000027342.1)
Source: RNAcentral
GUGGUGGCGGUAAUGCACCAGAAACGUUGUUGCCAAUCGACAUUAAACAAGAAGAAGUAGCAGCGCUUGUAAAAAGCAGAACUUGGCCGUAAGGAAGUAAGAGUAUAACUACAGUCAUCAAACUUUUCAUCUUCCACGAGGACUUUUAGUUUUUUUAAGCCGUCUAAGGCAAAGAUCGUGUGGCUGUGCUGAGCUUCCUUUCUGCUUCUCCUCUGGUCUCCAGCAGAUCGCGUUUCUGUUUCUGAUGUGUGUUUGGAAAGAUAUACGCUCUCGUUGAUCGUUGUAAACAAAGAACGUGUACUUGUGCUGACUGACGGGAGUAACAUGCCGGAAAGAGGAGGCUUCUGCAAUUUCAGCUUGACCCUCUAAACAGCAAGUAAGUAAUCAUUUUUUGUCAUCUUUCCUUGCUGUCCCACUGGACUGGACAUUAGUUUAGUUUUUUUAGCUACAUCUGGUGAAGUUGUGGUAAAAUACUGGUAUUAGCCUAUUCGUCGUAGCAAGCUAGCCUGAAGCUAAUAUUUGCUAAAUUUAGGGAUACCUGUGUCUCUUUAGGAGUUGGAGGCCGGUGUUUUAGGAGCGGCACAAGAUCUCAUCAACAGGCAGUGUUGGGGAGUAACGUAAUACAUGCACCGGCGUUACGUAUUUAAAAUACAAAAUAUAAGUAAAUGUAUCCGUUAUAGUUACUGGUGAUAUUGAGAAUACAGUUAGUUUGUUGAAAUAAAUGGAUUACAUG